UUGACAUGGCUGGAAUCCUUGAGAGAUUGAGGAGUGCUCGAAAGAGAACCAGUACACAGGUGCUGCAUGGCUGUCGUCAGCUCGUGUCGUGAGAUGUUGGUUAAGUCCCGCAACGAGCGCAACCCUUGUCAUUAGUUGCUACGAAAGGGCACUCUAAUGAGACUGCCGGUGACAAACCGGAGGAAGGUGGGGAUGACGUCAAGUCCUCAUGGCCCUUAUGGGUAGGGCUUCACACGUCAUACAAUGGUACAUACAGAGGGCCGCCAACCCGCGAGGGGAGCUAAUCCCAGAAAGUGUAUCGUAGUCCGGAUUGUAGUCUGCAACUCGACUGCAUGAAGUUGGAAUCGCUAGUAAUCGCGGAUCAGCAUGUCGCGGUGAAUACGUUCCCGGGUCUU
Molecule: ribosomal RNA, 395 nt
Filed under: uncultured Oxalobacteraceae bacterium
Lineage: Bacteria; Pseudomonadati; Pseudomonadota; Betaproteobacteria; Burkholderiales; Oxalobacteraceae
Description: bacterial SSU rRNA
Rfam family: Bacterial small subunit ribosomal RNA
Source: RNAcentral